UACUUUGUAGCUCAUUCGGGUAGAGCAACUGGCAUAUAACCAGUGGGUAGUCGGUUCGAUUCCGACCUUAGUAGCCA
This 77-nucleotide transfer RNA is filed under the name Aliikangiella coralliicola. Its description in RNAcentral is "Aliikangiella sp. M105 tRNA-Ile". It matches the Rfam family "tRNA". Rfam says of the family: Transfer RNA (tRNA) molecules are approximately 80 nucleotides in length. Their secondary structure includes four short double-helical elements and three loops (D, anti-codon, and T loops). Further hydrogen bonds mediate the characteristic L-shaped molecular structure. tRNAs have two regions of fundamental functional importance: the anti-codon, which is responsible for specific mRNA codon recognition, and the 3' end, to which the tRNAs corresponding amino acid is attached (by aminoacyl-tRNA synthetases). tRNAs cope with the degeneracy of the genetic code in two manners: having more than one tRNA (with a specific anti-codon) for a particular amino acid; and 'wobble' base-pairing, i.e. permitting non-standard base-pairing at the 3rd anti-codon position. The record is from RNAcentral. Lineage: Bacteria; Pseudomonadati; Pseudomonadota; Gammaproteobacteria; Oceanospirillales; Pleioneaceae.